AACGAACGCUGGCGGCAGGCUUAACACAUGCCAGUCGAGCGAGACCUUCGGGUCUAGCGGCGGACGGGUGAGUAACGCGUGGGAACGUGCCCUUCUCUACGGAAUAGCCCCGGGAAACUGGGAGUAAUACCGUAUACGCCCUUUGGGGGAAAGAUUUAUCGGAGAAGGAUCGGCCCGCGUUGGAUUAGGUAGUUGGUGGGGCAAUGGCCCACCAAGCCGACGAUCCAUAGCUGGUUUGAGAGGAUGAUCAGCCACACUGGGACUGAGACACGGCCCAGACUCCUACGGGAGGCAGCAGUGGGGAAUCUUAGACAAUGGGGGCAACCCUGAUCUAGCCAUGCCGCGUGAGUGGUGAAGGCCUUAGGGUUGUAAAGCUCUUUCAGCUGGGAAGAUAAUGACGGUACCAGCAGAAGAAGCCCCGGCUAACUCCGUG
This 433-nucleotide ribosomal RNA is filed under the name uncultured bacterium. RNAcentral's name for it is "partial 16S ribosomal RNA". It matches the Rfam family "Bacterial small subunit ribosomal RNA", at positions 29 to 507 of the family's 1533-position model. The record is from RNAcentral.